CGGGACGUAGCUUAGCCUGGUAGAGCGCCUGCUUUGGGAGCAGGAGGUCGUGAGUUCGAAUCUCCCCGUCCCGACCA
Molecule: transfer RNA, 77 nt
Filed under: Opitutaceae bacterium
Lineage: Bacteria; Pseudomonadati; Verrucomicrobiota; Opitutia; Opitutales; Opitutaceae
Description: tRNA-Pro
Rfam family: tRNA
About the family: Transfer RNA (tRNA) molecules are approximately 80 nucleotides in length. Their secondary structure includes four short double-helical elements and three loops (D, anti-codon, and T loops).
Source: RNAcentral